Molecule: ribosomal RNA, 475 nt
Filed under: uncultured organism
Description: partial 16S ribosomal RNA
Rfam family: Bacterial small subunit ribosomal RNA
Source: RNAcentral
GUACACUCCUGCGGGAGGCAGCAGUGGGGAAUAUUGCACAAUGGGCGCAAGCCUGAUGCAGCCAUGCCGCGUGUAUGAAGAAGGCCUUCGGGUUGUAAAGUACUUUCAGCGGGGAGGAAGGCGAUAAGGUUAAUAACCUUGUUGAUUGACGUUACCCGCAGAAGAAGCACCGGCUAACUCCGUGCCAGCAGCCGCGGUAAUACGGAGGGUGCAAGCGUUAAUCGGAAUUACUGGGCGUAAAGCGCACGCAGGCGGUCUGUCAAGUCGGAUGUGAAAUCCCCGGGCUCAACCUGGGAACUGCAUUCGAAACUGGCAGGCUAGAGUCUUGUAGAGGGGGGUAGAAUUCCAGGUGUAGCGGUGAAAUGCGUAGAGAUCUGGAGGAAUACCGGUGGCGAAGGCGGCCCCCUGGACAAAGACUGACGCUCAGGUGCGAAAGCGUGGGGAGCAAACAGGAUUAGAAACCCGUGUAGUCCCA